GGUUAAGUGACUAAGCGUACACGGUGGAUGCCUAGGCAGUCAGAGGCGAUGAAGGGCGUGCUAAUCUGCGAAAAGUGUCGGUAAGGUGAUAUGAACCGUUAUAACCGGCAAUACCCGAAUGGGGAAACCCAGUGUGUUUCGACACACUAUCGUAUGGUGAAUACAUAGCCAUACGAGGCGAACCGGGGGAACUGAAACAUCUAAGUACCCCGAGGAAAAGAAAUCAACCGAGAUUCCCCUAGUAGCGGCGAGCGAACGGGGAACAGCCCAGAACCUGAAUCAGUUCUUGUGUUAGUGGAAGCGUCUGGAAAGUCGCGCAGCAAAGGGUGAUAGCCCCGUACACUAAAAUGCAUUAAUUGUGAGUUCGAUGAGUAGGGCGGGACACGUGACAUCCUGUCUGAAUAUGGGGGGACCAUCCUCCAAGGCUAAAUACUCCUGACUGACCGAUAGUGAACCAGUACCGUGAGGGAAAGGCGAAAAGAACCCCGGCGAGGGGAGUGAAAUAGAACCUGAAACCGUGUACGUACAAGCAGUGGGAGCACCUUCGUGGUGUGACUGCGUACCUUUUGUAUAAUGGGUCAGCGACUUAUAUUUUGUAGCAAGGUUAACCGUAUAGGGGAGCCGUAGGGAAACCGAGUCUUAACUGGGCGAAUAGUUGCAAGGUAUAGACCCGAAACCCGGUGAUCUAGCCAUGGGCAGGUUGAAGGUUGGGUAACACUAACUGGAGGACCGAACCGACUAAUGUUGAAAAAUUAGCGGAUGACUUGUGGCUGGGGGUGAAAGGCCAAUCAAACCGGGAGAUAGCUGGUUCUCCCCGAAAGCUAUUUAGGUAGCGCCUCGUGAACUCAUCUUCGGGGGUAGAGCACUGUUUCGGCUAGGGGGCCAUCCCGGCUUACCAAACCGAUGCAAACUCCGAAUACCGAAGAAUGUUAUCACGGGAGACACACGGCGGGUGCUAACGUCCGUCGUGAAGAGGGAAACAACCCAGACCGCCAGCUAAGGUCCCAAAGUCAUGGUUAAGUGGGAAACGAUGUGGGAAGGCAUAGACAGCCAGGAUGUUGGCUUAGAAGCAGCCAUCAUUUAAAGAAAGCGUAAUAGCUCACUGGUCGAGUCGGCCUGCGCGGAAGAUGUAACGGGGCUAAACCAUGCACCGAAGCUGCGGCAGCGACGCUUAGGCGUUGUUGGGUAGGGGAGCGUUCUGUAAGCCGUUGAAGGUGAACUGUGAGGUUUGCUGGAGGUAUCAGAAGUGCGAAUGCUGACAUAAGUAACGAUAAAGCGGGUGAAAAACCCGCUCGCCGGAAGACCAAGGGUUCCUGUCCAACGUUAAUCGGGGCAGGGUGAGUCGACCCCUAAGGCGAGGCCGAAAGGCGUAGUCGAUGGGAAACAGGUUAAUAUUCCUGUACUCGGUGUUACUGCGAAGGGGGGACGGAGAAGGCUAGGCUAGCCGGGCGACGGUUGUCCCGGUUUAAGCGUGUAGGGGG
RNAcentral lists this ribosomal RNA (1481 nucleotides) under Serratia fonticola. Its description in RNAcentral is "partial 23S ribosomal RNA". It matches the Rfam family "Bacterial large subunit ribosomal RNA", at positions 1 to 1527 of the family's 2925-position model. Lineage: Bacteria; Pseudomonadati; Pseudomonadota; Gammaproteobacteria; Enterobacterales; Yersiniaceae. The record is from RNAcentral.